This 468-nucleotide ribosomal RNA is filed under the name uncultured bacterium. RNAcentral describes it as "partial 16S ribosomal RNA". It matches the Rfam family "Bacterial small subunit ribosomal RNA", at positions 28 to 507 of the family's 1533-position model. The record is from RNAcentral.
GACGAACGCUGGCGGCGUGCUUAACACAUGCAAGUCGAACGGAAAGGCCCUGCUUUUGUUGGGUGCUCGAGUGGCGAACGGGUGAGUAACACGUGAGUAACCUGCCCUUGACUUUGGGAUAACUUCAGGAAACUGGGGCUAAUACCGGAUAGGAGCUCCUGCUGCAUGGUGGGGGUUGGAAAGUUUCGGCGGUUGGGGAUGGACUCGCGGCUUAUCAGCUUGUUGGUGGGGUAGUGGCUUACCAAGGCUUUGACGGGUAGCCGGCCUGAGAGGGUGACCGGCCACAUUGGGACUGAGAUACGGCCCAGACUCCUACGGGAGGCAGCAGUGGGGAAUAUUGCACAAUGGGCGGAAGCCUGAUGCAGCAACGCCGGGAGCGGGAUGAUGGCUUUCGGGUUGUAAACCGCUUUCGCCUGUAACGAAGCGUGAGUGACGGUAAUGGGUAAAGAAGCACCGGCUAACUACGUG